This 46-nucleotide non-coding RNA is filed under the name Trichobilharzia regenti. The record is from RNAcentral. Lineage: Eukaryota; Metazoa; Platyhelminthes; Trematoda; Strigeidida; Schistosomatidae.
GCGUUAUUGAAGAGUCCCAAAAUAGGACGAAACAACUGUCCAGUAC